Molecule: long non-coding RNA, 538 nt
Organism: Vicia villosa (hairy vetch)
Lineage: Eukaryota; Viridiplantae; Streptophyta; Magnoliopsida; Fabales; Fabaceae
Exons: 4
Source: RefSeq, a predicted model, not a curated record
ACCAAAAAUCAAUAAACAGAAAUCAAACAAAAAAUCAAAAUCUUACAAUCCUAAUUGAUUAUCUUACUUUUCAUCUCUUCGUUCGAUAGUUGAGAGAUGGGUGAACCAAUUGCAAGAUCAUCCAUUCUAUUUGAUUCAAGUUCAUCAGUGACUUCCGGUUUUUCUGGCUUCUCAACAUAGCACAUUUUAAUACAACCUUUGGUUCUGCUUGUUGAUUCAAAUUUUGAAACCAGGGUGUUUGUAUCUUAUGAAAGUAUCUGGAAGGACGGGACGACGAUGAUGACAAGAUCCGCAGUAUUCUUCAAGGUGGCUAGAGGGGGGAGUUUCUCUGGCCAAUAGUUUUGAAGGUCUUGGGUUCUCGGAGAAUGUGAAACGCAAAUGUAGAGAAGACAGAGCUAUUUCCGACAGUGUUGACCUUGUUGAUUGUGAAUCUCACGCGCCUGAUUCUCGUCCUCUGGUUCAUGCUUUUUCUUCCGAUUCAAUGGCUAAUAGUACGCCUCAGAGUCCUCACGGUUCUAGAUUGCCGAUCAUCUUCGAU